Molecule: ribosomal RNA, 467 nt
Filed under: uncultured bacterium
Lineage: Bacteria
Description: partial 16S ribosomal RNA
Rfam family: Bacterial small subunit ribosomal RNA
Source: RNAcentral
GACGAACGCUGGCGGCGUGCUUAACACAUGCAAGUCGAACGGAAAGGCCCUGCUUUUGUGGGGUGCUCGAGUGGCGAACGGGUGAGUAACACGUGAGUAACCUGCCCUUGACUUUGGGAUAACUUCAGGAAACUGGGGCUAAUACCGGAUAGGAGCUCCUGCUGCAUGGUGGGGGUUGGAAAGUUUCGGCGGUUGGGGAUGGACUCGCGGCUUAUCAGCUUGUUGGUGGGGUAGUGGCUUACCAAGGCUUUGACGGGUAGCCGGCCUGAGAGGGUGACCGGCAAAAUUGGGACUGAGAUACGGCCCAAACCCCUACGGGGGGCAGGAGUGGGGAAUAUUGCACAAUGGGCGGAAGCCUGAUGCAGCAACGCCGCGUGCGGGAUGACGGCCUUCGGGUUGUAAACCGCUUUCGCCUGUGACGAAGCGGGAGUGACGGUAAUGGGUAAAGGAGCACCGGCUAACUACGG